Molecule: ribosomal RNA, 492 nt
Filed under: uncultured bacterium
Lineage: Bacteria
Description: partial 16S ribosomal RNA
Rfam family: Bacterial small subunit ribosomal RNA
Source: RNAcentral
GGUGAACGCUGGCGGUAGGCCUAACACAUGCAAGUCGAACGGCAGCACAGUAAGAGCUUGCUCUUACGGGUGGCGAGUGGCGGACGGGUGAGGAAUACAUCGGAAUCUACUUUUUCGUGGGGGAUAACGUAGGGAAACUUACGCUAAUACCGCAUACGACCUACGGGUGAAAGCAGGGGAUCUUCGGACCUUUCGCGAUUGAAUGAGCCGAUGUCGGAUUAGCUAGUUGGCGGGGUAAAGGCCCACCAAGGCGACGCUCCGUAGCUGGUCUGAGAGGAUGAUCAGCCACACUGGAACUGAGACACGGUCCAGACUCCUACGGGAGGCAGCAGUGGGGAAUAUUGGACAAUGGGCGCAAGCCUGAUCCAGCCAUACCGCGUGGGUGAAGAAGGCCUUCGGGUUGUAAAGCCCUUUUGUUGGGAAAGAAAAGCAGCAGGUUAAUACCCCGCUGUUCUGACGGUACCCAAAGAAUAAGCACCGGCUAACUUCGUG